CAGAGCUCGUGCCCACCCGGGUAGAACUCCCACCCACUGUUAUCGCUACGAUCGUUGCUUUGGCGGGCCGCCGGGCGCGCGCCCGCCAGAGGCCCACAGACUCUGAAUGUUAGCGUCGUCUGAGCACUACACAAUAGUCA
This 140-nucleotide unclassified non-coding RNA is filed under the name uncultured Dothideomycetes. Its description in RNAcentral is "sequence contains ITS1". Lineage: Eukaryota; Fungi; Ascomycota; Dothideomycetes. The record is from RNAcentral.